UGGGGAAUUUUGGACAAUGGGCGAAAGCCUGAUCCAGCAAUGCCGCGUGUGUGAAGAAGGCCUUCGGGUUGUAAAGCACUUUUGUCCGGAAAGAAAUCCUUGGCUCUAAUACAGUCGGGGGAUGACGGUACCGGAAGAAUAAGCACCGGCUAACUACGUGCCAGCAGCCGCGGUAAUACGUAGGGUGCAAGCGUUAAUCGGAAUUACUGGGCGUAAAGCGUGCGCAGGCGGUUUGCUAAGACCGAUGUGAAAUCCCCGGGCUCAACCUGGGAACUGCAUUGGUGACUGGCAGGCUAGAGUAUGGCAGAGGGGGGUAGAAUUCCACGUGUAGCAGUGAAAUGCGUAGAGACGUGGAGGAAUACCGAUGGCGAAGGCAGCCCCCUGGGCCAAUACUGACGCUCAUGCACGAAAGCGUGGGGAGCAAACAGGAUUAGAUACCCUGGUAGUCCACGCCCUAAACGAUGUCAACUAGUUGUUGGGGGAUUCAUUUCCUUAGUAACGUAGCUAACGCGUGAAGUUGACCGCCUGGGGAGUACGGUCG
This 541-nucleotide ribosomal RNA is filed under the name uncultured bacterium. Its description in RNAcentral is "partial 16S ribosomal RNA". It matches the Rfam family "Bacterial small subunit ribosomal RNA", at positions 355 to 888 of the family's 1533-position model. The record is from RNAcentral.